This 786-nucleotide ribosomal RNA is filed under the name Rhizoctonia solani. RNAcentral's name for it is "eukaryotic LSU rRNA". The stretch from base 265 to 418 matches the Rfam family "5.8S ribosomal RNA". Lineage: Eukaryota; Fungi; Basidiomycota; Agaricomycetes; Cantharellales; Ceratobasidiaceae. The record is from RNAcentral.
UUCCGUAGGUGAACCUGCGGAAGGAUCAUUAUUGAAAUUUAAUGAAGAGUUUGGUUGUAGCUGGCCCAUUAUUCAUAUUUUGGGCAUGUGCACACCUUCCUCUUUCAUCCCACACACACCUGUGAACCUGUGAGACAGAUGGGGAAUUUACUUGCUGCUUUUUGCAAUACAAAGGCAAUAGGUUAUUGGACCCUCUGUCUACUCAAUUAAUAUAAAAUCAAUUUAUUUUAAAACGAAUGUAAUGGAUGUAACACAUCUCAUACUAAGUUUCAACAACGGAUCUCUUGGCUCUCGCAUCGAUGAAGAACGCAGCGAAAUGCGAUAAGUAAUGUGAAUUGCAGAAUUCAGUGAAUCAUCGAAUCUUUGAACGCACCUUGCGCUCCUUGGUAUUCCUUGGAGCAUGCCUGUUUGAGUAUCAUGAAUUCUUCAAAGUAAAUCUUUUGUUAACUCAAUUGGUUUCACUUUGGUAUUGGAGGUCUUUUGCAGCUUCACACCUGCUCCUCUUUGUGCAUUAGCUGGAUCUCAGUGUUAUGCUUGGUUCCACUCGGCGUGAUAAAUUAUCUAUCGCUGAGGACACUGUAAAAGGUGGCCAAGGUAAAUGCAGAUGAACCGCUUCCAAUAGUCCAUUGACUUGGACAACACCUUUAUGAUCUGAUCUCAAAUCAGGUAGGACUACCCGCUGAACUUAAGCAUAUCAAUAAGCGGAGGAAAAGAAACUAACAAGGAUUCCCCUAGUAACGGCGAGUGAAGCGGGAAGAGCUCAAAUUUAAAAUCUGGCAGUGUAUU